GGCGAGUGAAGAGGAAAGAGCUCAAAGUUGGAACCUGUUUGGCCUAGCUAAACCGGAUUGUAGACUGUAGAAGUGUUUUCCAGGCAAGCCGAGUAAAUAAGUCCUUUGGAACAGGGCAUCAUAGAGGGUGAGAAUCCCGUCUUUGGCUUGAGCAUUUGCCUUUUGUGAUACGCUUUCAAAGAGUCAGGUUGUUUGGGAAUGCAGCCUAAAUUGGGUGGUAAAUCUCACCUAAAGCUAAAUAUUGGCGAGAAACCGAUAGCGAACAAGUACCGUGAGGGAAAGAUGAAAAGAACUUUGAAAAGAGAGUUAAACAGUAUGUGAAAUUGUUAAAAGGGAACCGUUUGGAGCCAGACUGGCUUGUCUGUAAUCAAUCUAGGCUUCGGCCUGGAUGCACUUGCAGGCUAUGCCUGCCAACGACAAUUUGACUUGAGGGAAAAAACUAGGGGAAAUGUGGCCCACUUGUGGGUGUUAUAGUCCCUUAGAAAAUACCUUGGGUUGGAUUGAGGAACGCAGCGAAUGCUUUUUGGCGAGUUUUCCAGGAAGGUUUUCUGAGGUACUACGGUAUCAAGGUUGAUCUUUUUGGUUAUACUUCUAUUCGCUUAGGUUGUUGGCUUAAUGACUCUAAAUGACCCGUCUUGAAACACGGAC
This 648-nucleotide ribosomal RNA is filed under the name Rhizopus arrhizus. RNAcentral's name for it is "Rhizopus oryzae partial large subunit ribosomal RNA". It matches the Rfam family "Eukaryotic large subunit ribosomal RNA", at positions 88 to 666 of the family's 3401-position model. Lineage: Eukaryota; Fungi; Mucoromycota; Mucoromycetes; Mucorales; Rhizopodaceae. The record is from RNAcentral.